RNAcentral lists this ribosomal RNA (466 nucleotides) under uncultured bacterium. RNAcentral's name for it is "partial 16S ribosomal RNA". It matches the Rfam family "Bacterial small subunit ribosomal RNA", at positions 28 to 507 of the family's 1533-position model. The record is from RNAcentral.
GACGAACGCUGGCGGCGCGCCUAACACAUGCAAGUCGAACGAGCGAGAGAGAGCUUGCUUUCUCAAGCGAGUGGCGAACGGGUGAGUAACGCGUGAGGAACCUGCCUCAAAGAGGGGGACAACAGUUGGAAACGACUGCUAAUACCGCAUAAGCCCACAGGUCGGCAUCGACCAGAGGGAAAAGGAGCCAUCCGCUUUGAGAUGGCCUCGCGUCCGAUUAGCUAGUUGGUGAGGUAACGGCCCACCAAGGCAACGAUCGGUAGCCGGACUGAGAGGUUGAACGGCCACAUUGGGACUGAGACACGGCCCAGACUCCUACGGGAGGCAGCAGUGGGGAAUAUUGCACAAUGGGGGAAACCCUGAUGCAGCGACGCCGCGUGGAGGAAGAAGGUCUUCGGAUUGUAAACUCCUGUUGUUGAGGAAGAUAAUGACGGUACUCAACAAGGAAGUGACGGCUAACUACGUG